RNAcentral lists this ribosomal RNA (256 nucleotides) under uncultured bacterium. RNAcentral describes it as "partial 16S ribosomal RNA". It matches the Rfam family "Bacterial small subunit ribosomal RNA", at positions 524 to 776 of the family's 1533-position model. The record is from RNAcentral.
UACGUAGGGUGCAAGCGUUAAUCGGAAUUACUGGGCGUAAAGCGUGCGCAGGCGGCUUUGCAAGACAGAUAUGAAAUCCCCGGGCUCAACCUGGGAACUGCAUUUGUGACUGCAUGGCUAGAGUGCGGCAGAGGGGGAUGGAAUUCCGCGUGUAGCAGUGAAAUGCGUAGAGAUGCGGAGGAACACCGAUGGCGAAGGCAGCCCCCCUGGGCUAAGACUGACGGCUGAGGCACGAAAGCGUGGGGGAGCAAACAGG